This 465-nucleotide ribosomal RNA is filed under the name uncultured bacterium. RNAcentral describes it as "bacterial SSU rRNA". It matches the Rfam family "Bacterial small subunit ribosomal RNA", at positions 338 to 795 of the family's 1533-position model. The record is from RNAcentral.
CCUACGGGUCGCACCAGUGGGGAAUAUUGCACAAUGGGCGCAAGCCUGAUGCAGCCAUGCCGCGUGUGUGAAGAAGGCCUUCGGGUUGUAAAGCACUUUCAGCGGGGAGGGAGGCGAUAAGGUUAAUAACCUUGUCGAUUGACGUUACCCGCAGAAGAAGCACCGGCUAACUCCGUGCCAGCAGCCGCGGUUAUACGGAGGGUGCAAGCGUUAAUCGGAAUUACUGGGCGUAAAGCGCACGCAGGCGGUCUGUCAAGUCGGAUGUGAAAUCCCCGGGCUCAACCUGGGAACUGCAUUCGAAACUGGCAGGCUAGAGUCUUGUAGAGGGGGGUAGAAUUCCAGGUGUAGCGGUGAAAUGCGUAGAGAUCUGGAGGAAUACCGGUGGCGAAGGCGGCCCCCUGAACAAAGACUGACGCUCAGGUGCGAAAGCGUGGGGAGCAAACAGGAUUAGACACCCCCGUAGUC